CCUGCAACAGCGAACGCCAACAUCUGCGUGGAGAAAGGCUGCAAACUAGAGCUUCCUGUGGCCGAAAGGCGAGCCCAGAGCCGGGGCCUAACAACAGCAGGGGGUUAGAUCUGAGGGACUGGGGCUACCCCCGACCACAGUCAAGACCCCCCUCGGGGGCCAUCCCCCUCGGGUCAUUAUCCCAGGGUCUGCCAGCAAAGGUGCCCGGAUCUGGACCAGGCUCUGCAGGUGCUCACAGAAAAGGUCCUGAGGAUGUACCGACUGAAAGCCUCAGCCAGGGAACCACUGACCGUCCAUUUCUGCAGAAUGAGCUGAACCCAAGUAAGACGUUUCCAUAGGCCCAUGAAUGGGCAAGGAACCGUUGAGAAAUAGAUUUGUGCUACUUGUAGAAUUAAAAAAGGAAAGGCCUAUGCCCAGCUCCAACAUAGUGAUCUGGGGGUAAGCAGUGCUUACCAUGGGUCCUCACACUAGACAAUGCACAUGCUUCUAGCAAAACGGAGGAGGGGGAGGGAAGGGGGGAGACCCAAGACCGACAAACCCAUGCCCAGAGCACUCAGGUGGCUGGGCACAGACCUGAGCAGCAAGCGGACCUCCGUCUUGCGGGACAAGCAGUUAUUCUCAGCACGGUUCUGACUUUCUCUCUCCUCUCCUCCUAGAACCUGACACCACGAGACAGCAGCCCCUGCACAUGACCUGACUCUGACCACAAAGACUUGGCCCUGGGACCCACAGGAGCUCGGGCCUCGAUUUACCUGCUCCUCCUGCCACACACUCAGGGCCGGCGCUGCUGGCAGUGCUGACCAGCCUUCUGCCGGCCAUCGUGUUCGUCCCAUGGGUGAGGUGGAUGCCGGCCGGCCGGCCGAGAACACUCCCAGCCCCGGCAGCAGGGCCCCGGACAACCAGGACUCCACUGCGGCUCCUCACUGCUCAGCCUUCCCUGCUCCACUCCCUCCCAGCGGAAGCACAUUUGCUGCCCCUGCCAUGCCCUCGCUGGGACCCGUUCUCAGAGCCUUGUCUGGGGUCCCGAUCCAUUUUCACUGUCUGCCUGCUUGGCCCCAGGCCCACUUGGGGUACGCGUGUGUGCAGCUGCUGGCAGGAGUGCCCAGUCUGGGGUGUCAGGGCAGAAGUGCACUGCCCUGUGCCCGUCUGCAUGAAGGUGCCCUAAGGGCAGGCCUGUCUCGUCACAACACACCCCAUGUUCAAGAACAUUCUAGAAGUAUCUGACAAACAGGAGGAACUCAGUACAUGUUUCUUGAAGGAACAAAUGAAUGAAACUGUGCUUGUCAGUUAUGUUAACUGAACAUUGAGGAUAUGAGAAGACUUAGACUUUAAGAUAAUGCAGAAAAUCUUACAGCGUUUUGAAAGGCAGAUCCCCUACCCCCUUUUAAAGAUUGUAUUUCUUUGAGAGUGCGCAUGCUUGCACAUGGUGGUGGGGAGGGCAGGGCAGAGGGAGAAGCAGACUCCCCACUGAGCAGGCAGCCUGACCCAGCUUGGUCCCAGGAGCUCAAGAUCAUGACCCGAGCUGAAAUAGAGUCCAAUGUCUCAUUGACUGAGCCCCCCACGGCACCCCAUGGCAGAUGCCUUUCAACACUUACCUUUCCGUAGCCGAAAGAAAGUCAAGCUCGGGUUGAAUUUCUAGCUCCAGCUGUAACCAGUCCCUGUAAGUCAACUGAGAGCAAAGGACAACAUGAGCACCACAGUGCGGACGGGAUGCGGAAGCCGCGAGCCGGCAUGGUGACACUCUGCCGUCCCCGAGGCAGGACUGGGAGCCUCCGCUGGUCUCUGUCCUCUUGCCGUUCCUGGCGGUCAGCCUGAGGCUCUGACCCUGAGCCCUGGAUGAAGAGCUCAGAUAUUGCUUCAUCUACCUCUGAACAGGAGGCUCAUGACAGCCGCUCACACUCGUACUCUGAGAUGGAAUUCUCCAGCACACUGCCUGGUUUUGAACAGUUAACCGCACUCAGUUCCUGCACACCACUACCGCCACGACCGCGUUGUGAGUGAGGCGAAGUCACCACAGCACAACCUGAUGUCGUGACGCGCUGUGAACACUCCCGGUAGCACAGGUGUCACUCUGAAAUUCUUGCAACGAUCCCGCGCAUGAACGUGGACUAAUCUCAAAACCUCACACUGCGUGUCAAAGUGCACCCUCCAGGGGUGCCUGGGGGGGGCUCAGUGGGUGAAAGCCUCUGGCUUCAGCUCAGGUCAUGGUCCCAGCGUCCUGGGAUCGAGCCCCGCAUCGGGCUCUCUGCUCAGCAGGGAGCCUGCUUCCCCCCCUCUCUCUGCCUGUCUCUCUGCCUGCUUGUGAUCUCUGUC
Mustela lutreola (European mink) is the source of this 2313-nucleotide long non-coding RNA. RefSeq lists it as uncharacterized. The transcript is spliced from 2 exons. NCBI's taxonomy places the organism in Eukaryota, Metazoa, Chordata, Mammalia, Carnivora, Mustelidae. The record is from RefSeq and is a predicted model, not a curated record.